This 1403-nucleotide long non-coding RNA is filed under the name Struthio camelus australis. RNAcentral describes it as "lncRNA (ENSSCUG00000008789.1)". The record is from RNAcentral. Lineage: Eukaryota; Metazoa; Chordata; Aves; Struthioniformes; Struthionidae.
GUAAUAUCAGCAGACCCCAAGCAAGUUUUAUCUAACUAGCAUGGAUACCAGCGGCACGUGAAGGGCGUGCAAGUCUCAGGAGCUGCCCUCACAGAUACUGGCAGCAACCCAGGCAAAUGCCCAGUUUAGAGUGGAGGUGGCUGCUGCCAAACAUUUUAAAUGCAGAAAUAAAAUCAAGUUAUUUAUCCCACAUUAUUUACAGUAAUAGAGGGCUGUUGAACAGCAUCUAAGUGCAGUACAAUAUAAUCAAUACAGAUUAUUAAAAGCAGAAAUAAAGACCAGCCAGCCUGAGGAAGCUACCAAUCAGAACAAAAGGAUCUAGCAAGAGGGCAAACUGAGCAGUUCUCAGAAAAAGCAACCCUCCAAAGCAAAAGGGGACAAUUCCCAGGUUUGAUCAGGUAAAUCCUGAGCCUUUCACUGAAGCAAGUUGCCCUUGACAUACUGGUUUCAUCGAAGCCUUUAAAGGGAAUUUGGCUCAGCCAGGGCUGAGAUGAGACUUCAGGAUUUAGCUCCCAAAAAUACAGAAGGAAUGUUGAUAUAUUGAAGUAUGCCAAAGUAAGACUUCCAAAAGGAUGAAGAGAAAUUCUAGUGAAAUUAAUUAACUGUAAGUCAUGCCCUAAAGUGACAAGCCUUGUUUUUGCAAAAAUUUUACAACUGAGGACCUGAAAAUGAGAAAUCUCUACUUGGCCUGAUCUCAGCUUUUCAAAACUUUCCUGUCUCUGGAAAAGUUAAAGAACAGAAAGAAGCAAAACACAACUCUGUCAGGGUCCCAAAAACUGGAGGGUCUCAAAAGCCAUUCAGCUGCACGUCCCAGUUCCACUGAUCCCAAAUAAUUGUCCAGAUAAUUGAACUGGAAGUGGUUCGUGUUCCUAUUCAUAACUGCUGGACCCAAAGAAAACAGCCUCAAUGCCACAUUUUCUACAAUCGUGGGGAGAUUGCCUUGGCUCUCACUCAGCUGGCUCAGCUAAUGCAAUUCACAGGCCUUCAAAUAUUUGGAGUCUGGCUCUGCCAUUUAUAGAACAGAUUUUUUUCCUUGAAGUGCUCUCCUGGGACCAGCCAGCAAGGUAUUUUCUGUAGCCUGCUUGAUUGGUCUUCAUUGUGGAGCAAUUUUAGAGGCCUGGCUUUGGACACCAUUUGCAAUGGAUUUAUAUCAGAAGGUCACAUCUUGUUACUGAGUCAUUAUUGAUUCUCCCCCUUGGGACUGUUGCAGGCCUGUGACUUUACCCUUCACAGGUAGAUUCUAACACGUCUUUUAGACAUCCAUGCGGAAAGGCAGGAGCAUGUUGCACUAACUCCUUGGGCAGAAAGCAGCAGUGAGGUGGAGGAGGGGAAAGGACCAGCAGAAAUUCUGCCUUCAGCAAAUUUAUUAAUUUUCACUGAUUUACUUAUCAGGGAAAAGAUUG